This 301-nucleotide ribosomal RNA is filed under the name uncultured bacterium. RNAcentral's name for it is "partial 16S ribosomal RNA". It matches the Rfam family "Bacterial small subunit ribosomal RNA", at positions 509 to 807 of the family's 1533-position model. The record is from RNAcentral.
CAGUCGCCACGGUAACACGUAGGGUGCGGGCGUUAAUCGGGAUUACUGGGCGUAAAGCGUGCGCAGGCGGCUUUGCAAGACAGAUGUGAAAUCCCCGGGCUCAACCUGGGAACUGCAUUUGUGACUGCAAGGCUAGAGUACGGUAGAGGGGGAUGGAAUUCCGCGUGUAGCAGUGAAAUGCGUAGAUAUGCGGAGGAACACCAAUGGCGAAGGCAAUCCCCUGGACCUGUACUGACGCUCAUGCACGAAAGCGUGGGGAGCAAACAGGAUUAGAUACCCCCGUAGUCCCUGUCUCUUAUAC